RNAcentral lists this ribosomal RNA (162 nucleotides) under Fagus grandifolia subsp. mexicana. RNAcentral describes it as "5.8S ribosomal RNA". It matches the Rfam family "5.8S ribosomal RNA". From Rfam's summary of the family: 5.8S ribosomal RNA (5.8S rRNA) is a component of the large subunit of the eukaryotic ribosome. It is transcribed by RNA polymerase I as part of the 45S precursor that also contains 18S and 28S rRNA. Lineage: Eukaryota; Viridiplantae; Streptophyta; Magnoliopsida; Fagales; Fagaceae. The record is from RNAcentral.
AAAACGACUCUCGGCAACGGAUAUCUUGGCUCUUGCAUCGAUGAAGAACGUAGCGAAAUGCGAUACUUGGUGUGAAUUGCAGAAUCCCGUGAAUCAUCGAGUCUUUGAACGCAAGUUGCGCCCGACGCCAUUCGGCCGAGGGCACGUCUGCCUGGGUGUCAC